UACAUGGCAAGAGAGUAUGUUUUCAAUA
Molecule: non-coding RNA, 28 nt
Filed under: Mus musculus (house mouse)
Lineage: Eukaryota; Metazoa; Chordata; Mammalia; Rodentia; Muridae
Source: RNAcentral